Molecule: ribosomal RNA, 821 nt
Filed under: uncultured bacterium
Lineage: Bacteria
Description: bacterial SSU rRNA
Rfam family: Bacterial small subunit ribosomal RNA
Source: RNAcentral
AGAGUUUGAUCAUGGCUCAGGACGAACGCUGGCGGCGUGCCUAAUACAUGCAAGUCGAGCGAGCAGAACCAGCAGAUUUACUUCGGUAAUGACGCUGGGGACGCGAGCGGCGGAUGGGUGAGUAACACGUGGGGAACCUGCCCCAUAGUCUGGGAUACCACUUGGAAACAGGUGCUAAUACCGGAUAAGAAAGCAGAUCGCAUGAUCAGCUUAUAAAAGGCGGCGUAAGCUGUCGCUAUGGGAUGGCCCCGCGGUGCAUUAGCUAGUUGGUAAGGCAACGGCUUACCAAGGCAAUGAUGCAUAGCCGAGUUGAGAGACUGAUCGGCCACAUUGGGACUGAGACACGGCCCAAACUCCUACGGGAGGCAGCAGUAGGGAAUCUUCCACAAUGAACGCAAGUCUGAUGGAGCAACGCCGCGUGAGUGAAGAAGGUUUUCGGAUCGUAAAGCUCUGUUGUUGGUGAAGAAGGAUAGAGGCAGUAACUGGCCUUUAUUUGACGGUAAUCAACCAGAAAGUCACGGCUAACUACGUGCCAGCAGCCGCGGUAAUACGUAGGUGGCAAGCGUUGUCCGGAUUUAUUGGGCGUAAAGCGAGCGCAGGCGGAAGAAUAAGUCUGAUGUGAAAGCCCUCGGCUUAACCGAGGAACUGCAUCGGAAACUGUUUUUCUUGAGUGCAGAAGAGGAGAGUGGAACUCCAUGUGUAGCGGUGGAAUGCGUAGAUAUAUGGAAGAACACCAGUGGCGAAGGCGACUCUCUGGUCUGCAACUGACGCUGAGGCUCGAAAGCAUGGGUAGCGAACAGGAUUAGAUACCCUGGUAGUCC